Molecule: ribosomal RNA, 503 nt
Filed under: uncultured bacterium
Lineage: Bacteria
Description: partial 16S ribosomal RNA
Rfam family: Bacterial small subunit ribosomal RNA
Source: RNAcentral
CGAAAGGCUGACCCAGCAACGCCGCGUGGUGGAUGAAGCCCUUCGGGGUGUAAACACCUUUUCUGGGGGAAGAUAAUGACGGUACCCCAGGAAUAAGGGACGGCUAACUACGUGCCAGCAGCCGCGGUAAUACGUAGGUCCCGANCGUUGCGCNAAAUUACUGGGCGUAAAGGGUCCGUAGUCGGUCUGGUAAGUGGAAGGUGAAAUNNUACGGCUCAACCGUAGAAUUGCCUUCCAAACUGCUGNACUUNAGGCAGGGAGAGGUCNGCGGAAUUCCCNGUGUAGCGGUGAAAUGCGUAGAUAUCNGGAGGAACACCANUGGCGAAAGCGGCCGACUGGAACUGACCUGACACUNAGGGACGAAAGCUANGGGAGCAAACCNGAUUAGAUACCCNGGUAGUCCUAGCCNUAAACGAUNGAUGCUAUAUGUGGCCUACNAAAGUAGGCUGUGCCGCAAGCAAACGCGUUAAGCAUCCCGCCUGGGGAGUACGGCCGCAAGGUUG